This 464-nucleotide ribosomal RNA is filed under the name uncultured bacterium. Its description in RNAcentral is "partial 16S ribosomal RNA". It matches the Rfam family "Bacterial small subunit ribosomal RNA", at positions 29 to 507 of the family's 1533-position model. The record is from RNAcentral.
ACGAACGCUGGCGGCGUGCUUCACACAUGCCAGUCGCACGGAAAGGCCCUGCUUGCCGGGUACUCGAGUGGCGAACGGGUGAGUAACACGUGGGUGAUCUGCCCUGCACUUCGGGAUAAGCCUGGGGAACUGGGUCUAAUACCGGAUAGGAGCCAUUUUUAGUGUGAUGGUUGGAAAGUUUUUUCGGUGUAGGAUGAGCUCGCGGCCUAUCAGCUUGUUGGUGGGGUAAUGGCCUACCAAGGCGGCGACGGGUAGCCGGCCUGAGAGGGUGGACGGCCACAUUGGGACUGAGAUACGGCCCAGACUCCUACGGGAGGCAGCAGUGGGGAAUAUUGCACAAUGGGCGCAAGCCUGAUGCAGCGACGCCGCGGGGGGGAUGACGGCCUUCGGGUUGUAAACUCCUUUCGCUAGGGACGAAGCUUUUUGUGACGGUACCUAGAGAAGAAGCACCGGCUAACUACGUG